Molecule: non-coding RNA, 78 nt
Filed under: Rhodobacter sp. NTK016B
Lineage: Bacteria; Pseudomonadati; Pseudomonadota; Alphaproteobacteria; Rhodobacterales
Source: RNAcentral
AUGCGAAACCCGCGAGCCCUCAACCGGGCUCGCGCGGUCGGCCGGGCGUGGUGGCGCGGUCCUGAUGAGCAGCCGGAG